UCUAGAACCCGAGAUAUAGACAGAAAACUAAACAAUGUCUGGGCUGUAGGAUAGAUUCAAACUUCUCUUUUGAUACUAAGAUUUGGACUCCAAAACAGCAAAAUUGAGUCUUGGACUCUUCAUCAAUAUUUUAGGCCUAUGUCUUAGCUUUCUAGC
Populus trichocarpa (black cottonwood) is the source of this 156-nucleotide non-coding RNA. Lineage: Eukaryota; Viridiplantae; Streptophyta; Magnoliopsida; Malpighiales; Salicaceae. The record is from Rfam.